Carassius carassius (crucian carp) is the source of this 379-nucleotide long non-coding RNA. RefSeq lists it as uncharacterized. The record is from RefSeq and is a predicted model, not a curated record. NCBI's taxonomy places the organism in Eukaryota, Metazoa, Chordata, Actinopteri, Cypriniformes, Cyprinidae. The transcript has 3 exons.
CCCAACAGCACUAAAACAGAGAAUACGAGACUGGUUCACUUCUGGAUCGAAUCCUCCACUAUCAGGAGUGUAAACGGUACACUACAGUACCUCCCUGAACCUCUGCUGGUGUUCCAGGGCAGUUUUGAUGGGAUUCCUCUUCCUCUGCACGAUCAGACUGUGUCAGCAUCCAGUGACCUGAGCUCACUGAAUCAUCAGACGCAUCAGACUCCCUUCUCUGUUGAGGAUACAGCGGCAGUGCAUCUGUCGAAGUGUUCAGGUUUGUUUACUCUGAAACAGAAAAAAGCACCAUAGCCGUCUAUGUGUCUGUGUCAGGACACGGUCACAGAUCUCACCCUCCAGUCCCGAGGAAACAAGGCGUCCACCAGCCUGAUGAAGU